Molecule: unclassified non-coding RNA, 275 nt
Filed under: Hevea brasiliensis (rubber tree)
Lineage: Eukaryota; Viridiplantae; Streptophyta; Magnoliopsida; Malpighiales; Euphorbiaceae
Source: RNAcentral
GAGGAUUAACUUUUGUGAAGUGAACUUGUGAUUUUAGGUUGAAAAUUGAGGGAUUUAAGCUUUGCAUGAAAACGUCCAUGGAGGAAAGAUGAAGAACCCAUUUCGGCCAUGGGAGAAAAUGAAGAAGAAGAAAUGAAGUUAGUGGAUUUAACUUGUCAUCUUAUGCUUUUAUACCUCCACUAACAAUUUAAAUAUUAAUUAUAAUGAUUAAACUUUCAUAAUUCUAAUUAUACCCCCUCAUUUCUCUUUAAUUACAUUACACAUGUAAUUUCAUA